This 69-nucleotide transfer RNA is filed under the name Ceuthmochares aereus. Its description in RNAcentral is "tRNA-Gly". It matches the Rfam family "tRNA". From Rfam's summary of the family: Transfer RNA (tRNA) molecules are approximately 80 nucleotides in length. The record is from RNAcentral. Lineage: Eukaryota; Metazoa; Chordata; Aves; Cuculiformes; Cuculidae.
GCUCUUUUAGUAUACUAAUUACAAUUGACUUCCAAUCUAUAGAAUCUGGUCUAACCCCAGAAAAGAGCA